GAUGAAGAACGUAGCGAAAUGAGAUACGUAAUGUGAAUUGCAAAUUCAGUGAAUCAUCGAGUCUUUGAACGCACAUUGCGCCCCCUGGUAUUCCGGGGGGCAUGCCUGUCCGAGCGUCAUUGCUGCCCUCAAGCACGGCUUGUGUGUUGGGCCCCGUCCUCCGAUCCCGGGGGACGGGCCCGAAAGGCAGCGGCGGCACCGCGUCCGGUCCUCGAGCGUAUGAGGCUUUGUCACCCGCUCUGUAGGCCCGGCCGGCGCUUGCCGAUCAACCCAAAUUUUUUAUCCAGGUUGACCUCGGAUCAGGUAGGGAUACCCGCUGAACUUAAGCAUAUCAAUAAGCGGAGGA
Molecule: unclassified non-coding RNA, 346 nt
Filed under: soil metagenome
Description: partial contains 5.8S ribosomal RNA, internal transcribed spacer 2, and large subunit ribosomal RNA
Rfam family: 5.8S ribosomal RNA (bases 1-119)
Source: RNAcentral